Molecule: long non-coding RNA, 1899 nt
Filed under: Equus caballus (horse)
Lineage: Eukaryota; Metazoa; Chordata; Mammalia; Perissodactyla; Equidae
Description: lncRNA (ENSECAG00000038732.3)
Source: RNAcentral
UGUCUAUUUCUCUUACAUUCUAUUGGAAUGUGAGGUUGAUGGAAUACGACCUUUAUUCAUUUCCCUAUCUCAAUAACCUAGAAUAAUUCCUGACACAUGGAGGCGAUCAAGAAAUAUUUUUAAUUAAUUAAUAACUAAGUGAAUGCAGCCAUUGAACUAGAAACUGAAAACAAUUCAAUUGUCCAGUUCUUCUUUUAUUCCAAGGAUGACUUCCUCUAGAUGCAAGAGCAGACGCAGUUGAGGAUUCCAUGUUCAUCUGGCUGAGUGGAGUCAACCAGCAUGUUAGAGGAGCUGAAACUUUCUUGGUUACUGUCAAGUGGGAAAAUUCUCAGUGCUAAAAUAAUUUCCAGGUCCAAUCAAAACAAGCUUCCCCUCAAAAAACUGUCGAAAAUCUCAACAUGCAAUAGAUGUGUUAUGGACUUAUAAAAAUGGAGCCUGAUACUCCCCAGAGUCCUUUCCUGAUGAGGCUUCUGGAGGCACAGGAUUCCCUGAGAUGGAUUUUCCCAGAGGGAAUCUGGAGAAAGGUUUCAAGACAGAUUUUCCUUUGUGAGUGAAUGCCCUGGCAGAGGUGGGGGAGUGAACAGGCAGAUCCACCCAGGAUUUCAGAGCUCUGGGCGUUAGGCUACCUUAUCUCAGCUGGGCUGACUUCUCGCCAACAUCCUCAGUGCCAACCGCUCCUGUAGGUAAAACAAGACUGGCCACUCAGAGUUUAACAUCCUCGAGCUACUGUGAUAAGUUCAAGAAAGGCCACAAGAUCUGAGCUGGACCAAAUAGGGCAAAUGGGAUCCCAUCUUGGAAUCUGUUGGAGCUAUCAGGGGAAAAACAUUUUUUUUUUCUUUUGUAGUAUUCAAGAAGAUGGGACAUAAGCUUAGAGCUCCUGACGUCUUGUCACCAGGAAGGGAGAAGUUAACUAAGAGCUCAGCCACUCUAGAGGAAAGCAGAGAAAUUGAUGCAAGGGUCCUAAUGACAUUGUUUGAGCUCCUGGAUACAACCGUGUUUGAAGUCUCGUAUAUCCAUGAACUUUGCAGUUGUGUGAACCAAUCUAUUUCUUUUUGGCUCUUGCUCAAGUCAAUUGUUCGCAGACAUUUCUGUGCAUCAAAUCACCUGAGGAGCUUGUUAAAAUGUAGAUUUCUAUGCCCCACCUUCAGGUGGAUCUAUGGUGGGAACCAAAACCUUGCAUUUCAAAUAAUUUUCUAGGAGAUGCUGUGGCUGCUGGUCCAGGGGCCAUACUUUGAGAACCAUUGGCUUAGGAGCCUUUUUUGGUUUCUGCUGCUGAUAACCCAAACUGUCUUGAUUGACAUCAGAAGAUCUUUUCUAAAUGGAAAAAGAAUCCGAUGCGUAGAAGAAUUAAUAGAAUGAGAUAAAAUAAUGUGUUUGGGAACUAGUCAAUAAGCACUUGAAAAAGGACAUGGCCAUCCCUCAUGACUGCUUUGGACCAAACCAACAUUUUGUAAGGUGGUUUUCCACUGUCCAUAUGGCUAAAGGCAAGGCCGUUCGAGUUUAUGACAAAUGAGCAAAAACAGCAGGACUAAUACAUGUUUUGUCGAAGACUUAAAACCCGUGCAUUGAGAAAAUGCACAUUUUUCGCUCUGAUCCAGUCUGUCAACAAAAUGCUUUUCAUGAGAAACAUCAAAGCCAUUUCAUCUGCAAGUUUCAUUUUUUUGAAUCCCUUAAUCUACACUGUUGACAAAAAUUUCUGUCAAGUGCCUCAAACCAUUGUAUUAACAAAUUUUAUUUUGUCAGUCAUGAUUUAGCCCCCUUGCAAAGACGGUUUGUAAUAUUCCGCUCCAUCCUGCAGGAGGAAUACUUAACUGUUAAUGCCUCAAUCUUAAUAUUGAAAGCAACUGAAGAGAGAAAGUAAAAGUGGUGUGCUCAUUUAGCACAUCUGUUGGAUGUCCA